Molecule: long non-coding RNA, 1827 nt
Organism: Ictalurus punctatus (channel catfish)
Lineage: Eukaryota; Metazoa; Chordata; Actinopteri; Siluriformes; Ictaluridae
Source: Ensembl
GGCAUAUAAAACAUUUCAAAACACUACAUUGUCACAGUCACUGCUUAAAUGUGGAUUUCUCUUAAACAACAGAAAAUGCUGGCUCACUGAAGGUGCUGUUUGGAACUCCAGAGUUUGUAGCUCCAGAGGUGAUCAACUAUGAAGCGAUCAGCUAUACUACAGACAUGUGGAGUAUCGGUGUCAUCUGCUACAUACUUGUGAGUGGAUUAUCUCCAUUCAUGGGGGAUAAUGAAAAUGAGACGCUCUCCAAUGUCACAUCAGCAACGUGGGAUUUGAAGACGAGGCAUUUGAUGAAAUUUCAGAUGAGGCUAAGGACUUCAUCAGCAAUCUACUGAAGAAAGACAUGAAGUAGACGCCCUCUCACUGUUGCGUUAUUUUAAUGGUGUAGCCUCUCUCUAAACACUAGAUAUUCAUGUACUAUAUGAAAUGCAGAAACCAAGAGGUGCCAGAAUUGUAUUUGUUUCAUUAUGGAGCAAUGCUUAAAUCUGCAUUUCUAUCAUUUUAAAAAUAAUUAAAUUCAUCGGAGGAAAUGGCACAAAAGCAAUGAAUAUAUUCACACAAAGUGGGGGCUACACAUAUGUUUAUCAUUUAUUCUCCCUCAAUCACAUCAGACAUACAGAGCCAUGCCACUUCAGUACAUUGGUUUGGGCAGCUUUAUGUUUCAAAUAUUUUUUUCAGCUGUAAAUAUAAUCAGUUUUUCCCUGUGUCUAACAUAAGUAUUCACUUUGCAUCCAUAAUAUAUACAGUAUGGACAUCUGCUGUACAUUUCACAUUGUAGCAGGGAUUUUAAUUACUCGGGCACAUUUUCUGUUACUAAGUCUGACAUGUUUUUAAUCCAGACGGUAGAGAGGGGUUGAUUAUCUUUCUUAGCGAAUGUGUUAAAGUCCCUGAUAAGACCUAAAUGAGGUUACUUACUCAGUUACUUUUACAUUCCUCUAAGUGAUAAUCUCAUUAUUGGGUGCUGUUUGAUUGUCUUUUACAGGUUACCGUAAUUCAUUCAGGGUACAAGUAUGUGCUGUAUUUAAGCUUAAGAUUGGCUUUAGAGAGUAACUCAGUGAUAAACCUUUCAGUCAUUGCAGAUCAGUUUAAAAGUCAAGAGGUGAAAUAAGUGGUUUCUGUAUGAAACUGAUUAACGAUGUUUUACUUAGGGCUCGUCUCACCUGUGAGCAGUGUUUUCAGCACCCCUGGCUUAAACAGGACACCAAGAACAUGGAAGCCAAGAAGCUCUCCAAGGAAAGGAUGAAGAAAUACAUCCUGAGGAGGAGAUGGCAGGUGAGCUGAGGCAAUGUACAACUCAAGUACCGGUUAUUGUGCAACUUUAAGAUUAGUAUUGGAGUCAAUGAUUUCACAGUGCUGGGGUGCAGGCACAUGGUAAAUAAUAAAUAGUCUGCACUUAUAUAUGCUUUUAUCCAAAGCCUUUUCACUGUGACUCAUUCACACACGCACUCGCACACCAAUGGAAAUAGAGCUGCCAUACAAGGCGCUAACUUGCCAUCAGGAGCAACUUUGGGUUCGGUGUCUUGCCCAAGGACAUGUGGAGUCACGUGGGCCGGGAAUCGAACCGUCAACCCUACGAUUAGUGAACAACCCGCUGUACCACCUGAGCCACAGCCGCGUAUGACCGUUUAUACCUCAAGUUACAAACGAACAAGCAAAAAACAUCAUUUUAUUCUGAAGUGCAGUUGGUGCAAAUCUUUGGAUAUGCAACUGAUAAAGAAAGUUCAUUAUUACUGUAGAUGUACUGUUGUACUGUACAGUACAGGAUGCAUCUAUGACACAUGCAAAUAUUUAAGUUAAUGUCCAUAUUGAAAUAUUUUUCUGAAGCAG